RNAcentral lists this unclassified non-coding RNA (254 nucleotides) under uncultured Acidimicrobiia bacterium. RNAcentral describes it as "contains 16S-23S intergenic spacer region". It matches the Rfam family "Bacterial small subunit ribosomal RNA", at positions 524 to 776 of the family's 1533-position model. The record is from RNAcentral. Lineage: Bacteria; Bacillati; Actinomycetota; Acidimicrobiia.
UACGUAGGGUGCAAGCGUUAUCCGGAAUCAUUGGGCGUAAAGAGCUCGUAGGCGGCUCAACAAGUCGGCUGUGAAAGCCCGAGGCUCAACCCCGGAAUUGCAGUCGAUACUGUUGUGACUCGAGUCCGGUAGAGGAGAAUGGAAUUCCCGGUGUAGCGGUGAAAUGCGCAGAUAUCUGGAGGAACACCAGUAGCGAAGGCGGUUCUCUGGGCCGUCACUGACGCUGAGGAGCGAAAGCGUGGGGAGCAAACAGG